CCUACGGGAGGCAGCAGUGGGGAAUAUUGCACAAUGGGGGGACCCCUGAUGCAGCAACGCCGCGUGGGUGAAGAAGUAAUUCGGUAUGUAAAGCCCUGUCAGCAGGGAAGAAAAUGACGGUACCUGAGCAAGAAGCCCCGGCUAACUACGUGCCAGCAGCCGCGGUAAUACGUAGGGGGCAAGCGUUAUCCGGAUUUACUGGGUGUAAAGGGAGCGUAGACGGCAAGGCAAGUCUGGAGUGAAAGCCUGUGGCUCAACCCCCGGACUGCUUUGGAAACUGUGUUGCUGGAGUGCAGGAGGGGUAAGCGGAAUUCCUAGUGUAGCGGUGAAAUGCGUAGAUAUUAGGAGGAACACCAGUGGCGAAGGCGGCUUACUGGACUGUAACUGACGUUGAGGCUCGAAGGCGUGGGGAGCAAACAGGAUUAGAUACCCGGGUAGUC
Molecule: ribosomal RNA, 440 nt
Filed under: uncultured bacterium
Lineage: Bacteria
Description: partial 16S ribosomal RNA
Rfam family: Bacterial small subunit ribosomal RNA
Source: RNAcentral